ACCUGCCUAGCUCAAUCAGAUAGAGCAUUAGACUCUUACAUUUCUGAACAGGCGGGAUCUGAAGGCUGCGAGUUUGACCCUUGCGGUGGGCU
Molecule: non-coding RNA, 92 nt
Organism: Mycena albidolilacea
Lineage: Eukaryota; Fungi; Basidiomycota; Agaricomycetes; Agaricales; Mycenaceae
Source: the annotation of a GenBank genome assembly